This 106-nucleotide small nuclear RNA is filed under the name Propithecus coquereli (Coquerel's sifaka). The record is from RNAcentral. Lineage: Eukaryota; Metazoa; Chordata; Mammalia; Primates; Indriidae.
GUGCUCGUUCUGGCAGCACAUAUACUAAAAUCAGAAGGGUAUGGAUAAGAUUAGCUCGGCCCCUGAACAAGGAUGACACACAAAUUCAUAAGCAUUUCAUAUCAAA